CUACGGGCCGCUGCAGUGAGGAAUAUUGGACAAUGGAGGCAACUCUGAUCCAGCCAUGCCGCGUGCAGGAAGACUGCCCUAUGGGUUGUAAACUGCUUUUAUACAGGAAGAAACCUACUUACGUGUAAGUAGCUGACGGUACUGUAAGAAUAAGGAUCGGCUAACUCCGUGCCAGCAGCCGCGGUAAUACGGAGGAUCCAAGCGUUAUCCGGAAUCAUUGGGUUUAAAGGGUCCGUAGGUGGUUUAUUAAGUCAGAGGUGAAAUCCUAUCGCUCAACGAUAGAACUGCCUUUGAAACUGAUAGACUUGAGUUAUUGUGAAGUAGUUAGAAUAUGUAGUGUAGCGGUGAAAUGCAUAGAUAUUACAUAGAAUACCGAUUGCGAAGGCAGAUUACUAACAAUAUACUGACACUGAGGGACGAAAGCGUGGGUAGCGAACAGGAUUAGAUACCCCCGUAGUC
This 459-nucleotide ribosomal RNA is filed under the name uncultured bacterium. RNAcentral's name for it is "partial 16S ribosomal RNA". It matches the Rfam family "Bacterial small subunit ribosomal RNA", at positions 339 to 795 of the family's 1533-position model. The record is from RNAcentral.